Molecule: microRNA, 18 nt
Filed under: Bos taurus (domestic cattle)
Lineage: Eukaryota; Metazoa; Chordata; Mammalia; Artiodactyla; Bovidae
Description: bta-miR-2886
Source: miRBase by way of RNAcentral
AGCGCCGCCGGCCGCACC